RNAcentral lists this ribosomal RNA (468 nucleotides) under uncultured bacterium. Its description in RNAcentral is "partial 16S ribosomal RNA". It matches the Rfam family "Bacterial small subunit ribosomal RNA", at positions 28 to 507 of the family's 1533-position model. The record is from RNAcentral.
GACGAACGCUGGCGGCGUGCUUAACACAUGCAAGUCGAACGGUAAGGCUCGGCAUUUGUGCCGUGCUCAUGUGCCGCGAAGGGGAGUGUCACGUGAGGAGCCUGCCCCUGACAUUGGGGGACCAUCAGUGGACUGGAGCGAUUACCGCACAUAAGCUCUUGCAACAUAGUGUGUAAUUGUGAGAGACGGAGGUUCGGGAUUGACUCGCGGUCUAUCAGCUUGUUAGUGGGGUAGUGGGUUACCAAGGCAUUGACGGGUAGCCGGCCUGAGAGGGUGACCGGCCACAUUGGGACUGAGAUACGGCCCAGACUCCGACGGGAGGCAGCAGUGGGGAAUAUUGCACAAUGGGCGGAAGCCUGAUGCAGCAACGCCGCGUGCGGGAUGACGGCCUUCGGGUUGUAAACCGCUUUCGCCUGUGACGAAGCGUGAGUGACGGUAAUGGGUAAAGAAGCACCGGCUAACUACGUG